CCUACGGGAGGCAGCAGUGGGGAAUAUUGGACAAUGGGCGAAAGCCUGAUCCAGCAAUGCCGCGUGAGUGAUGAAGGCCUUAGGGUUGUAAAGCUCUUUUACCCGGGAUGAUAAUGACAGUACCGGGAGAAUAAGCUCCGGCUAACUCCGUGCCAGCAGCCGCGGUAAUACGGAGGGAGCUAGCGUUGUUCGGAAUUACUGGGCGUAAAGCGUACGUAGGCGGUUAUUCAAGUCAGAGGUGAAAGCCUGGGGCUCAACUCCAGAACUGCCUUUGAAACUAGAUAGCUAGAAUCAUGGGGAGGUCAGUGGAAUUCCGAGUGUAGAGGUGAAAUUCGUAGAUAUUCGGAAGAACACCAGUGGCGAAGGCGACUGACUGGACAUGUAUUGACGCUGAGGUACGAAAGCGUGGGGAGCAAACAGGAUUAGAUACCCUGGUAGUCCACGCCGUAAACGAUAGAUAACUAGCUGUUCGGUACCUUUAAGGUUGAGUGGCGNAGCUACGACAUAAGUUAUCCGUCCGUCGGGUAGGUACGGUCGCGAGAAGUUAAACGUUAAAGUUAAGUAAGUUAGUAACGGUACGUGUUAGACGUAGACGAACGGACGACGACGAGGGAGGAGG
RNAcentral lists this ribosomal RNA (619 nucleotides) under uncultured bacterium. Its description in RNAcentral is "bacterial SSU rRNA". The stretch from base 1 to 518 matches the Rfam family "Bacterial small subunit ribosomal RNA", at positions 338 to 873 of the family's 1533-position model. The record is from RNAcentral.